CUUGUCUCAUGCUGCUCAUCAUGUCCACCAGCAUCAUGGUCUUGCUUCUUCAGCUCCUACAACUACUGGGUCUGCUCCUUCAACUUCUUCUUCUUCUUUAUCUCCUCCUUCUUCUACUUCCACCUCCACGUCUUCUGCUGCAGCUCCUCCUCAACUUGUCGACGCUUCUCUUGCUAUCGCCACCAGAUCUGGACCUGUUUUAGACUCAACAAAGAAAAAUCAGCAGCAGAAUCUUUCCGUAGUUACCACCACAUCUACAGCCACCACCACUGCUUUGACUGCAACACCAGCGAAGAGGUCCACGAAGGACCGACACACAAAGGUUGAUGGGAGAGGGAGGAGAAUCAGAAUGCCAGCAACUUGUGCAGCUAGGGUUUUUCAAUUGACA
Molecule: long non-coding RNA, 388 nt
Filed under: Manihot esculenta (cassava)
Lineage: Eukaryota; Viridiplantae; Streptophyta; Magnoliopsida; Malpighiales; Euphorbiaceae
Description: long non-coding RNA (MESC_LNC003782)
Source: RNAcentral